AGACCCGAAACCCGGUGAUCUAGCCAUGGGCAGGUUGAAGGUUGGGUAACACUAACUGGAGGACCGAACCGACUAAUGUUGAAAAAUUAGCGGAUGACCUGUGGCUGGGGGUGAAAGGCCAAUCAAACCGGGAGAUAGCUGGUUCUCCCCGAAAGCUAUUUAGGUAGCGCCUCGUGAAUUCAUCUCCGGGGGUAGAGCACUGUUUCGGCUAGGGGGCCAUCCCGGCUUACCAACCCGAUGCAAACUGCGAAUACCGGAGAAUGUUAUCACGGGAGACACACGGCGGGUGCUAACGUCCGUCGUGAAGAGGGAAACAACCCAGACCGCCAGCUAAGGUCCCAAAGUCAUGGUUAAGUGGGAAACGAUGUGGGAAGGCCCAGACAGCCAGGAUGUUGGCUUAGAAGCAGCCAUCAUUUAAAGAAAGCGUAAUAGCUCACUGGUCGAGUCGGCCUGCGCGGAAGAUGUAACGGGGCUAAACCAUGCACCGAAGCUGCGGCAGCGACACUAUGUGUUGUUGGGUAGGGGAGCGUUCUGUAAGCCUGUGAAGGUGGCCUGUGAGGGUUGCUGGAGGUAUCAGAAGUGCGAAUGCUGACAUAAGUAACGAUAAAGCGGGUGAAAAGCCCGCUCGCCGGAAGACCAAGGGUUCCUGUCCAACGUUAAUCGGGGCAGGGUGAGUCGACCCCUAAGGCGAGGCCGAAAGGCGUAGUCGAUGGGAAACGGGUUAAUAUUCCCGUACUUGGUGUUACUGCGAAGGGGGGACGGAGAAGGCUAUGUUGGCCGGGCGACGGUUGUCCCGGUUUAAGCGUGUAGGUGUGUGUUCCAGGUAAAUCCGGUUCACUUUAACACUGAGGCGUGAUGACGAGGCACUACGGUGCUGAAGCAACAAAUGCCCUGCUUCCAGGAAAAGCCUCUAAGCAUCAGGUAACAUCAAAUCGUACCCCAAACCGACACAGGUGGUCAGGUAGAGAAUACCAAGGCGCUUGAGAGAACUCGGGUGAAGGAACUAGGCAAAAUGGUGCCGUAACUUCGGGAGAAGGCACGCUGACACGUAGGUGAAGUGAUUUACUCA
This 1069-nucleotide ribosomal RNA is filed under the name Salmonella enterica. RNAcentral describes it as "partial 23S ribosomal RNA". It matches the Rfam family "Bacterial large subunit ribosomal RNA", at positions 711 to 1773 of the family's 2925-position model. Lineage: Bacteria; Pseudomonadati; Pseudomonadota; Gammaproteobacteria; Enterobacterales; Enterobacteriaceae. The record is from RNAcentral.